CCUACGGGAGGCUGCAGUCGAGAAUCAUUCACAAUGGGGGAAACCCUGAUGGUGCGACGCCGCGUGGGGGAAUGAAGGUCUUCGGAUUGUAAACCCCUGUCAUGUGGGAUCAAAUUAAAAAGAUAGUACCACAAGAGGAAGAGACGGCUAACUCUGUGCCAGCAGCCGCGGUAAUACAGAGGUCUCAAGCGUUGUUCGGAAUCACUGGGCGUAAGGCGUGCGUAGGCUGUUUCGUAAGUCGUGUGUGAAAGGCGCGGGCUCAACCCGCGGACGGCACAUGAUACUGCGAGACUAGAGUAAUGGAGGGGGAACCGGAAUUCUCGGUGUAGCAGUGAAAUGCGUAGAUAUCGAGAGGAACACUCGUGGCGAAGGCGGGUUCCUGGACAUUAACUGACGCUGAGGCACGAAGGCCAGGGGAGCGAAAGGGAUUAGAUACCCCAGUAGUC
Molecule: ribosomal RNA, 446 nt
Filed under: uncultured bacterium
Lineage: Bacteria
Description: partial 16S ribosomal RNA
Rfam family: Bacterial small subunit ribosomal RNA
Source: RNAcentral